AGAAUUUAUCAGCCAAAGAAUGGAGUCAGGAGGGCCACAGGGAAGGCACAAGCUAUCAAGCCAUGUUAGCUUGUGGGCUCCUCCUGAGGCCUCCAGCUUUCUUCCGAUGCUCGUUGAUCUUCUUUUGGUCCUGAAAAAAUCAUCAAUUUUUUAGAGCAAUUGGACCUCGUUUGGUAUGGAAAACCUGCAAAGUGAAAAACAC
This 202-nucleotide long non-coding RNA is filed under the name Hordeum vulgare. RNAcentral's name for it is "long non-coding RNA (HVUL_LNC018945)". The record is from RNAcentral. Lineage: Eukaryota; Viridiplantae; Streptophyta; Magnoliopsida; Poales; Poaceae.